AGAGGUAAAUAUCACAUUAAUGUUUUGUCUUACAGAUAGCCAUACAGGUUUGAACCAACAACCUGAUAGAAAGUUUUACCUGUUGUGUAAACAGGAUGAGCUAGCUUUGUGAAAGGUUGUCUUGCAGGAAAAGAAGGAAAAUGACUUUAGAAAAGAUGAGAUACAACAGAUAGGAUAGUUAGCUGAAUAUCCUGAAAGGGUCCACCUGUGCCAUGGAAGUUUGAAAGCUGCUAUAUGGACCUUACUGUCAGACAAAUCACAUUUACCUCUGGCUGAGUGGAGGAGAACAGAGUGAUGUUUCUAUACUCAGAUCAUAAAAUGACACCUCUUGAGGUGCAGGUGCCCAGUGAUUUGUAUGACCAGAACUGGAGUGCACAGUUGACAAAAUAGCACCAGUUGCUGAGGUCCAAGUUUCCCAGAAACAAAUAAUUUAAAGGCCCAUUGAAACCAGAAAAUACAUUUUUGGUAAUAAUUUGACGAAGCCAGUUGUAGAGUUUUAACAUGAGACAGUUAGGGAGAGAGAGUUUACAUUUUGCUGGAACCUUGUUACAGAUUUGCAGGAGCAGCCAGUGUCCAAGGAAACCCACAGCCAUUCUAAAUAUAGGAACAACACAAUCAGACAAGUUGGCAAGAUUCAAGAGUGGUGACAUUCUGCCCAAGAUUCAAGUCUGGAGAUUCAAUUGGCUGAUUUUAUAAUCUUUUUUUUUUUAUUAAAGUUUAAAAAUGACAUUGACUUAAGACUGCAUGUAUAUUGUUUUCAGUCAAAGGCUUUUCUAUUCAACACAUUAUGAUCUGGAAAAAAACUAUAUUGGAGACAAGUUUGUAUAACAAAAUGAAAGAAAGAAAAAGGUUUUUAUGUUACAAAGAUUUUUUUAAAAACGUACUAAGUGACAUUAUCAAAGAGGAUACUACACGAGUGUCUUUUCAUAUUAAAUGAAGUUAUUAAACAAGAUUAAUAAAACAAUAAAAUGCGAG
This is a long non-coding RNA of Mercenaria mercenaria, 975 nucleotides long. RefSeq lists it as uncharacterized. The transcript is spliced from 6 exons. The record is from RefSeq and is a predicted model, not a curated record. NCBI's taxonomy places the organism in Eukaryota, Metazoa, Mollusca, Bivalvia, Venerida, Veneridae.